This is a small nuclear RNA of Suricata suricatta (meerkat), 107 nucleotides long. The record is from Ensembl. NCBI's taxonomy places the organism in Eukaryota, Metazoa, Chordata, Mammalia, Carnivora, Herpestidae.
GUGCUCGUUUCAGCAGCCCAGAUACUAAAAUUGGAACCAUACAGAGAAGAUUAGCAUGGCCCCUGCGCAAGGAUGACACGCAAAAUCAUGAAGUGUUCCAUAUUUAA